This 238-nucleotide long non-coding RNA is filed under the name Linum usitatissimum (flax). RNAcentral describes it as "long non-coding RNA (LUSI_LNC003712)". The record is from RNAcentral. Lineage: Eukaryota; Viridiplantae; Streptophyta; Magnoliopsida; Malpighiales; Linaceae.
CUCUUUCUGGUUCCUUCGAAAGGACUUAGUCGGUGCUGCUUUAGAAAUUUGACUCCAUGUAUAGUUUUUUUUAUUUUUAUUUUUCUCCCUCUUGAUUUACUUGGGUUGUUAGUGUUUGAGUUCAUAUGUAAGGUUAUAGUUGGAAUGGAGAGUGCAAGCUCCCUAUGGUGCAAGUAAUGAAAAUGAAGGUUGGAGCUCAUAUCCUAACCAACACCAACAUUAUGAGCAUUAAAGUCCA